This 70-nucleotide transfer RNA is filed under the name Goniodes dissimilis (brown chicken louse). RNAcentral describes it as "tRNA-Phe". The record is from RNAcentral. Lineage: Eukaryota; Metazoa; Arthropoda; Insecta; Psocodea; Philopteridae.
AAAUUGUAGGCUUAGCUUAUCCAAAGCGUAACUUUGAAGGUGUUAAGAUGGGUUUCCAGCCUACAAUUGA